This 389-nucleotide RNase P RNA is filed under the name Rhodospirillales bacterium. Its description in RNAcentral is "RNase P RNA component class A". It matches the Rfam family "Bacterial RNase P class A". Rfam says of the family: Ribonuclease P (RNase P) is a ubiquitous endoribonuclease, found in archaea, bacteria and eukarya as well as chloroplasts and mitochondria. The record is from RNAcentral. Lineage: Bacteria; Pseudomonadati; Pseudomonadota; Alphaproteobacteria; Rhodospirillales.
CCAGACGGCUGGACGGUCGCUGGUGGGUUGCCGCCAGAGGAAAGUCCGGGCUCCACGGGAAUACGGUGCCGGCUAACAGCCGGCGGGGGUGACCCCAGGGAUAGUGCCACAGAAAGCAAACCGCCAUGGCUUGCCAUGGUAAGGGUGAAAGGGUGCGGUAAGAGCGCACCGCCUCGCCGGUAACGGGGAGGGCGCGGAAAACCCCACCGGGAGCAAAACCGAAUAGGGGCGGCCGGCGUCCUGCGGCAACGCAGGGGCGCGAAGCUAUUUCCGGCUUGCCGCCCGGGUUGGUUGCUUGAGGCGGGUGGUAACAUCCGUCCCAGAGGAAUGGCCGUCCAAUGCCCGUUCGCGGGUGUGGACAGAACCCGGCUUACAGGCCGUCUGGAUCU